AUUUUUUCACAUGCUAGAAUUUUAAUUAUACUAAUUACUUGAAUUUGAUUGGCUCUAGGUAAUGUUUUUCUCAAACAUGGUUCUGAACUCCGCCUGAUUCCCCGUGAUAGAGUUGGAGCUUUUGCGACUUUGGGUGCUGCCUUAGUAUCAGGGUGAAGAGAUUGGACUACAUUCUCUAGUCCAUUUGAAUAGGUAAUACAUCCUGGAUGUAUUUUCUCGAGUUUUCUUGGCUUUCAAUGAGUUGGAGGAUUGUCAUACUCUCCUGAGCAUCAUAUUACUGUAAUUGGCUCUAAUAAAAAAGAUACUAAUAUAGUCAAUACCAUUAACCUGUGAGGGAUUGGAACGAUGGCUGGUUUAUAUAGAUGGACUUUGAGUGAAAAUGAAAGGAAGAGAAGGGCAGUUCCAUAAAUAUAUUAGGCCUGGUAUUGCCCUUUUGGAGAUGGGCCUGCGCCAAUAACAAUAGGCCGAGUCAGUGAUUCUCAAACCUCCAUAAUACAAUUAUGCAAGUUGUCAGAUGGUAGACAUCCAUUAUUUGUUGGGCUGAGUUAGAAAUUCUAAACAGCUGAGCAAGGAAACAUUGUGGUUCGAGUGCAGUGAUAAAUUAUCCCAAGGGACAGUGUGAACCACCCUGGAGUAGCAGGGUUCUAAUCUUAGAUUGUCAGAAUCUGAUUAGGGAGGCAAUGCUAUGGCUAAUGAUAUUCAAGUAGCAGAUUUGAUUAACUAAAAUAGGGUAUGGAUUGAACACUUUCAAGCGUGAACAAUCCUAGUGAGUUCAUUAUGAUGGUAGGGAUAUUGUUUAAUUUGGAAGGUUUCACUUUUCCUACUAAAGACAAAAAACGAAAGAAAAGAAAAAGCUUCCCAUUCAAAACGUGAUAAUGCUUCUUUAUCUCCCUUUAGUGAGAGAGCAUUGUUGGAGGUGUAGCAUUAACGCAUCUACGACCCAUCGUGGGAUCUUUUACUGAAAAUAAAGUACAAAGAUUUAAGCUAUCUUUGCUUUUAGAAAAUUUUGAAAAAUAAAUGUGAGAAAUAGAAAAUAGAGGAAAACAAGAAGGAAAUAAUUUAUUUUAAAAAAAAAAUUGAAAAUUAAAUUUAAAAAUAAUAAAUUAUUGUUAUAUGUUAUUUUAAAUUCAUUAUAUAUAUAUAUAUAUAUAAUAAUUUUAAAAUACAUAAGUAUUUAACUAAUUUUAAUUAUAUUUGAUGUUUGUUAUACAAAAAAAUCACUGUAGAACCAGACAUGAAAAACCUCUUUUCUUGACAUUUCUAUUCUUUUCUCAAUAAUUUUUUCGGAACCAAAUCAAAUAUAAAGAAAAUUAUUUUAUUUUUUGCAUUUCUUUUUUUUUUUUUUCAAUACUUUUCCGAACCAAACCAAACAUAAUCUCAGGAAAUGCUGUGAGGGUGCAUCUUGUAUUAGAUGCUUUUCCCAGUUAAUGUUUUUUGAAUUAUGGCAACCCUGCAGUCGCGUUCGUAGUGUGGGUUGUACAGCAGUGUGCUUAAAUGCUGUACCAACUGGGAGCACCCAGGAAAGGCAACCAAUAUGAAAUUUGCUGUAUUGGAAGUCGGCAAGGUUUGUUGAUGUAAUGAGGUGAAGGUCCACCAUGAGCGUGGUCAUUAUUCCACGAUUUUGGCGCCUUUGGAUGAUUACCACCUUUUGAGGAAGUGAGGACAGAUCCAUUUAGAUCUGUAUCUAACCCAAAGGAUUUUGAAAGUGGCCCCAGUAUCUAAGCACUGACCCAUCCCGACCAUUUCAUGUUCCCCAACUGCCUUCGCCUCUCCGUUGCUCGGAAGUGACCCAACGAACUUUACCCUAAUGCUCCAUCUAUUCUCUCUUCUUCAUCACCCAUCCUAAAGAGGAGAGUUGAUCCAGUACAACAAGUCUUUAAGGGAGGAGUUGUUUAUUUUCUUGCGGUCAUGGAUCUCCACAAUUGUUGCUUUCACGAUUGUUACUUUGGUGAUUGAUUCUUUAAAAAAACUAAAUUUGAUUUUAAAAGUUGGGGUUGUUUGUCUUUUACCUUCUUUUUUUUCCUUAAAUUUUUCAUAUUUGUUAGAGUAAUUUGUUUUUUUAACUUCUUACGUUUUUUUUUUUAAGAAUAAUUUAUCUUUUCAUGAAUUACUAUCUUAACAAAAAAAAAUUUUAAUUUUUAACUUUAUUAUAAUCCUUAAAUUCAAUUAAAAUUCAUAAAAUCAAUAAAUUAAUUUUCAUAAAUUCAUAAAUAUGAAUACAACCCAUUUGAAAACAAAUGUUUAUUUUGAAAAUUUUUGAUAUUUUCUUAAUAACCUAACAAAUCCUAAUUAUUAUCUCAUCACUAAUUUUCAUUAGUCAUAUAAUUAAUUAUUCUAAAUUUUUUAUUAUGAUAUUUUGGGAUAUUUAAAAAUAUAUUAAGGGCUUAUCACUUAACAGUACACUCAUAAAAAUACAAAUAAAUUUAUAUUCACAUUAAAAAAAACAAAACAAAAAAUAUACUAGAAAUUAAAAAAAAAAAAAUCGCAUUAAUUACUUCGAUUUUUGGAAUUGGGGCAGGAUUAUGCCAUCCUUGUUUUUAAAAUUUCUUGCAAAAAACCUCCUCAUUUACCGUCGGGAUAGCUGAAUCAAAUCCAAAUGAUUCUAGAAGAGCAAGGGGGCUCAUCACAUCCUCAAUUUUAGAUUUUUCUUUUUCCCCCUUCAUUCUCUCAACACCACAUGUUCCCCGAUUGCCUACCCGUCACGAAACUCCAAUAAGAAUGUAAGUGGAUGGUGCGUCACUAAGCAAUUUUUGUGGCUUAAUUUUAAUCGUACCAUUUUUGCAGUGGUGCCCCAAAAAUAAAUAGUAUGUGGUUAAAGGGCUCUAAAGCUUCAUUAUCCCAAAUACAUACACUUUUUCUCUAUAUACACCCAUCUCUUUCUCUUUUUUAUAGGACAUUAAAGGCUACUAAAGCAUAAUUAUCCUAGACAUGUUCACUUUUCCUUUAUAUACCCAUAUGCGUUUUUGGUAGUGCAGAAAAAUAAAAAUGGUUUGUACUUCAAGUCGCCCAAGCAAAUAUUCUGCGCUAAAAGGUGUGUAGUGGCUGUUACACAUAUACCCCUGGUCAUCUCGAAACAAGAGUCAACCAAUGGGUAGUUCUGUAAAUAUGCAUAUCAAUGUCUCUCCAAAGCUAAUUUAGUGUGCGAGCCGAUCCCGAGAAAGUGAUGGGGGAGCGCAUGUCUCGGCGUGUCUGAGGUCCUCCUUUGGACAUGCGAUUCUGAUGACGUCAUCAACCGCAUCAUUAUUUCUUUUUGCAUGACCAUUUUGCCCCUUCGCCGUGACUUUCAAGGGCAACCGUCCCUUUCAUUACGUUCACUCACUCACUUGUGGCAGGGUGACCCCAUAUCCCCUCUGCCCCCAACCUUUCACUCUCUGACGGAGACUGGUCAAUACAUUAGAAACUGCCCUUGGAUCUACACAUAACUCGACAAAGGUUAGUUCGCGGUAAUGAGAGUGGCUUGUUUAGGGACGUAGGCGUGGUGCAUCCCAGCUCUCAACUGAAAACGUGGCCCAUUGUGCCAACUGUAUUCCAGUUUCUUAUAUUUUCCACGUAAAUCCUUGUAUCGAAACUCCACAUCGGAAAUUCAAUAUGAAAGAUUAACCUUCGGUCAUUAAUUUCCUCCAGCAAUCAGCGGGCAGUAUGAUUAUGGUUCAAGCCUUAAAAGUUAAAACUCACUUUCGGCCUAUUGUCAAACUAGGUGAGCUGUUUUUCAUUAUCCUCGUUCCUGACCAGCUAUGAGCCCUAGAUGAAGUUCAGACAUUAGUUCUCUUCGAAUCUUCGUGCAACUAAAUUUUCGGGAACUGUCUUUACGUAAGAAUCGAGGUGGGAGAUUUGAUGCUAAAUCGGAUCCACCACAACUUGCGCAUGUCUGCCCAUCACAUUCUAACCCGCUGUAUUUAAGAAGAUUGCCCCUUUUAUUCAUUAUUCUUAGCCCUGCAAAUUGAGCAAACGGUUAAUCGUAGACUCGAGAUCAUACCGAAAUAAAAAAUAAUCAAUCCAAACUCAUUUCAGUCUAACUUUUAAUAUGAAAUAUUUAAUGCAAGUUCAAUUCAAUCUUGUUUUUAUUAAAAUUCAAGUUGAUCGAAAUCAAAUUUAAAUUAAUUAUAUUAAAUUUAAAUUGAUCAAAUUAAAUUCAUAUUAAUUAAAUUGAUUUAAUUGCAUGAUUCAAAAUCAAUCCAUGAAGAUUUUUAAAAGCUUUAUACAUAUAUUCAUAUCAAAAUUAAAAUAGUAUAUAAGACAAAACUUGAUAAUAACAAUAAAUAAAAAAGUAAAAUAAACUUAUUAUUUUAUAAAAAUAAAUAAAUAAAAAGUAUAUGAUAUAAUUAUAAUCUGAUUUUUUUUAUAACCUAAAAAAUAAAAUAAACAUUAUAAAAAUAUAAAUUAGGUUUGAAUUAGACUUAGAUAGUAUGAAUCUAGACCCAAACCCCAUUCAAAUUGAGUUCAAAUUAAAAAAAUUUAAUUCAAAUUCAAUCAAAGUAAUCAAAAUAUCUAUCUAAACAUUAAGUUGAGUUGAGCCAAUCCACCUAAGUUGUAGUCGCUAAUUAUCCCUAAAACAUUUGUAUGAUAGACUCCUCAAAUAUUUGGUAUGAGUGAUUUGUUUGAUGGUUAAAGACGGAAUGGAUAUACAUAUAUUUAUAAAUUAAUAACAUGAAACUUUGCUCCUCAUUCAUCCAUUCAUUCAUUCAUUUAAGUGGUUCAUCUAAAAAAUAUGUCAUAGUAAUUGCAUAUCUUGCAAGUGAUCUCCCUUUUUCUUGAUAUGAUAUAAAAGAGUUGAGUAAUUAUGGGGUUAAUUUUUGCCUCGUAUUAAGAAAAUAUGAACCUUUUCUUAAUAAUUUUUAGUUUUAUUAAGCAUGUCAUGAUUGUAAAUAACCAUCAUAUAAUUCAACCGUCACUCUGUUUUCAUUUUUAUUUUUCAUAUUAUCUUUUUGUGUUUUUUUUUCCAAUGACAAUAGGAAUGUAACCCUUGCCACGGGCUAGCCCAUUUGCCUCAUUUUCUCUAUUCACCGGUGCCUUCAUAGUUGAUUAAUUAUGUUAAAAAAAUCGCAUGAAUUGGUGAACAGAUCAAGAAAGUGAAAAAAUAAAUAAAUAACAAAUAAUAAAUAAAAAAAGAAUAACAAUAUAGAAUAAAUCUAAUUUUUUCAUUGCAUAUAAGUCUGAUAAUUGGGUGAUUUUUUUUAGACUUGUAACAUAUUUAGAAUUUAAAUAAAUAAGUUAGGAAUGAGUUUGAAUUUUUUCUUUUAACCCAGGAUGGGUUACGGUAUCGCCUUAUUUAUUCUCACCCUAAUUAUAUAUAAAUUAUUUUUAAAAAUUAUUUAAUUUUAAUUUAUUUUUUUAAUAAUAAUAAUAAUAAUAAUAUGUUAUUUAAUAAAAUAAGUUAUAAAAAUGAUAAUAUUUUAAUUAUUUAUAAAAUAUAUUUAUUUUAAUAUAAUUAAAAAAUAAAUAAAUUGGAUGAGAUGAGCGUAGAAUUUCACGUACCCAUCUAGUGUCGUUCUUUAAUUUUUAGAAUAUAAUAAAAAUAUGAAUUAUUUUAAAUAAAUAGGAGGAGAGUGGGGACAACCCUUGCCGACCCGGCCCCUUUGCGUUCCGUAAUUGCAUCAACGUUAUUUAGGUUUAAAAAAAAUUGAAAAGAUGGGUAGGUGUAACGUCUUACAAUCGUCAACCUCAAAGUAGUUCCAUGAUUUCACCACAUGGGGUAUAAGAUGAAGACAAAGCGAAGUUGUGAAGGGUAUAAAUGUCCAAAAGGAAAAUUAAAUGCUGGUCCACUGGGUGGGAAUGAUGUGGUCCAAAUGUCUGAGUAGAAGCAACAAAACCAAAGGCUCUGCAACCGCUGCUUGCUUCUUCUUUAUUACAUGCACAUAUUUAUGAGGGUCCCUCACUCUCUUUACUGACCUUCAGAAUACUCCUUUAUGGAUACACCGGCUCCUCUCUGUUUUAGCGCACGCUGUCAUUAAUGGGCACGUCCAAAUUAUAUUUUAUCUUCUCUCAAAUCAUACUACCACGACAUGAUUUUAAAAACCCUACUUCAAAUUCUACUCUUAUUUGACCAAACUAUAGAUCCAAAAGGUCAGUUGGAGAAGUUCACCCACUCCUGUAACGGGAUUACGGUUUUGAUAUCAUUUUUCCAAUUGUUGAUGCCUUAGAUGUAAGUAAUACAAUUAAUACCAAUUGUUUUAAAAAAAUCGAUCUUACGGUUAAAGUACUACCCUUUAGAUUUUGAUAUUUCAAAACCUCAAAAUUUAAUUAUUGAAAACAAUCUUAAAGUUGUUGAAAGUCUCGUGAACUCAUAAUAUUCUAUCCAAUAACUCAACCUUAUUUUUGACCCACUUUCGAUGGAAAGAGAAAAUGAUAAUAAAAACUAUGGUUUUCUCUCUUCCUAUAUAGUGGAAUACAAAAGUUAUGAAAACUCUAACAUUUCCUAAUUGGACUUAAGUGACUUGAACCAAUAUAAGCUUAAGUUACUUAAUCUAACAUAAAAUAAGUCAUAAUUAAUUAACAAUUUACAUCCAAUCAUAUAGUAUUGUCCAUUUUGAGUCAAAAUAUGAUAUCGUGAUUUUAAAAUUCGUUUAUAAUAUUAAAAUAAAUUCAUACUUAUAUAAUAUCACAAAGCUUCUCCCUAUCCCAUAUCAUAAUUGAUGACAUAGAAAAAUUAAUAUUCCUGUUGCUAAGCUUUUUAAUGUUUAUUUAUUUAUAAGUUUUUUAAAUGAACUAUAUUAAAUUAAAAUAUCAAUUCAAAUAUAAAACAACGAUGGAUAAUUAUAUUUCAAUAAAUGUAUUUAAAAAAUAACAUGAAUCACUGUACAGAAACGAAAAACCAAGUUACAAUAUUAUCAAAAUUAUUUGAUUAAUUAUUUUAUAAAUAUAAAUUUAUAUUUUUUUAAACUCAAAAAAAGUCACCACACACAUCUACUUGUUGAUUGAGAUGUAUACUGAAAAAUUUAUGACUUAACAUCAAUUAUUUAAUUAUCAUUUUUUUUUAUCAAAAUAAAUUUAAUGAUUAUUUUUAAUUUUUAUCAACCCUCUAAUAAAA
This 7027-nucleotide long non-coding RNA is filed under the name Vitis vinifera (wine grape). Its description in RNAcentral is "long non-coding RNA (VVIN_LNC005917)". The record is from RNAcentral. Lineage: Eukaryota; Viridiplantae; Streptophyta; Magnoliopsida; Vitales; Vitaceae.